ACUCAAAUGAAUAGACGGGGACCCACACAAGCGGUGGAGCAUGGGGUUUAAUUCGAUGAUAAGCGAAGCACCUCACCCAGACUUGACAUGUAGAGAAUCCUGAAGAAAUUCGGGAGUGCCGCAAGGAACUCUAACACAGGCGCUGCACGGUCGUCGUCAGCUCGUGCCUUGAGGUGUACUGUUCAGUCAGCCAACGAGCGCAACCCUGAUCCUAUGUUGUUAUUUCAUAGGAGACUGCCGCCUCCAAGGCGGAGGAAGGUCAGGAUGACGUCAGAUCAGCGUGGCCCUUAUGUCUGGGGCAACACCCGUGCUACAAUGGUCGGUACAAACGGCAGCAAACCCGCGAGGGUAAGCAAAUCCGACAAAACCGAUCUCAGUCCGGAUUGAAGUCUGCAACUCGACUUCAUGAAGUUGGAAUCGCUAGUAACCGUGAAUCAGCUACGUCACGGUGAAUAUGUUCCUGGGUCUUGCACACACCGCCCGU
Molecule: ribosomal RNA, 484 nt
Filed under: uncultured bacterium
Lineage: Bacteria
Description: partial 16S ribosomal RNA
Rfam family: Bacterial small subunit ribosomal RNA
Source: RNAcentral